CCCCAAGUGGCGAAAUUGGUAUACGCUCUGAUCUCAAAAAUCAGUGAUUAAUAAUCAUAUGGGUUCGAAUCCCAUCUUGGGGA
Molecule: transfer RNA, 83 nt
Filed under: Candidatus Shikimatogenerans bostrichidophilus
Lineage: Bacteria; Pseudomonadati; Bacteroidota; Flavobacteriia; Flavobacteriales
Description: tRNA-Leu
Rfam family: tRNA
About the family: Transfer RNA (tRNA) molecules are approximately 80 nucleotides in length. Their secondary structure includes four short double-helical elements and three loops (D, anti-codon, and T loops).
Source: RNAcentral